UUAAUUGAAACCAAAAAGAGGUAUAUCACUGUUAAUGAUAAGAAUGAGAAUUUCUCCAAUUAAA
This 64-nucleotide transfer RNA is filed under the name Nortia carinicollis. RNAcentral's name for it is "tRNA-Asn". The record is from RNAcentral. Lineage: Eukaryota; Metazoa; Arthropoda; Insecta; Coleoptera; Cerambycidae.